This 468-nucleotide ribosomal RNA is filed under the name uncultured bacterium. RNAcentral describes it as "partial 16S ribosomal RNA". It matches the Rfam family "Bacterial small subunit ribosomal RNA", at positions 28 to 507 of the family's 1533-position model. The record is from RNAcentral.
GACGAACGCUGGCGGCGUGCUUAACACAUGCAAGUCGAACGGAAAGGCCCUGCUUUUGUGGGGUGCUCGAGUGGCGAACGGGUGAGUAACACGUGAGUAACCUGCCCUUGACUUUGGGAUAACUCCAGGAAACUGGGGCUAAUACCGCAUAGGAGAUCCUGCUUCAUGGUGGGGGUUGGAAAGUUUCGGCGGUUGGGGAUGGACUCGCGGCUUAUCAGCUUGUUGGUGGGGUAGUGGCGUACCAAGGCUUUGACGGGUAGCCGGCCUGAGAGGGUGACCGGCCACAGUGGGACUGAGAUACGGCCCGGACUCCUACGGGAGGCAGCAGUGGGAAAUAUUGCACAAUGGGCGGAAGCCGUAUGCAGCAACGCCGCGUGCGGGAGGACGGCCUUCGGGUUGGAAACCGCUUUCGCCUGUGACGAAGCGUGAGUGACGGUAAUGGGUAAGGAAGCACCGGCUAACUACGUG